CCUACGGGAGGCAGCAGUAGGGAAUCUUUCACAAUGGGCGAAAGCCUGAUGGAGCAACGCCGCGUGCAGGAUGAAGGCCUUCGGGUUGUAAACUGCUUUUAUAAGCGAGAAAUAUGAUGGUAACUUAUGAAUAAGGAUCGACUAACUACGUGCCAGCAGCCGCGGUCAUACGUAGGAUCCGAGCAUUAUCCGGAGUGACUGGGUGUAAAGAGUUGCGUAGGUGGCAUAAAGGUAGCUAGGGAAAUCUGGGGGCUCAACCAUUCAGACUAUUAGCUAAACUGUUAAGCUCGAGACCGUUAGGGGUAACUGGAAUUUCUAGUGUAGGAGUGAAAUCCGUAGAUAUUAGAAGGAACACCAAUAGCGUAGGCAGGUUACUGGGACGGUUCUGACACUAAGGCACGAAAGCGUAGGGAGCAAACGGGAUUAGAUACCCCUGUAGUC
This 441-nucleotide ribosomal RNA is filed under the name uncultured bacterium. Its description in RNAcentral is "partial 16S ribosomal RNA". It matches the Rfam family "Bacterial small subunit ribosomal RNA", at positions 338 to 795 of the family's 1533-position model. The record is from RNAcentral.